RNAcentral lists this long non-coding RNA (458 nucleotides) under Heterocephalus glaber (naked mole-rat). RNAcentral's name for it is "lncRNA (ENSHGLG00100039714.1)". Lineage: Eukaryota; Metazoa; Chordata; Mammalia; Rodentia; Bathyergidae. The record is from RNAcentral.
CCCGCGUGGACACUGCUCCGCCCGCGCCCGCGCCCGACUCCUGCAGGGACCGCAGCGACCGCAGGGGGUCGCGCGGUCCGGCGCCCUGGAAGCUGGAUUUGCAGUCCUGAGCCGGCGAGGCUCCAGAGACUCAGCCUCCGAGGAGGCUGUCGAGGGAGCGCCAAGGGUGGGAGGCCCGGCUGCGGCCCAGUAAUCUGACACCGCACCCCACCCGCCGUCUCACAGGGCCGGGGAUUUAGCUCCAGACAGCCCCGGAAACAGCCACUUGGGCCUCAGCGGCUUCUGCCCCAAGGGAGUGGCAGAAAUGCCUUGCCUGGGAGGAGACUGUGGAGACCCAGCUCCAGCCCUGUCUCCUGGCUACGGCUUGGUCCAGCCUGUCUCAGACGACAAAGCGACUUCUGGCCUGUGCUGCCCAGGAGGAAAGACUCGGAAGGGGAGGCUGGUAGAGCAGGGCUCUG